UCUUAUCUUUUGUUCUCUCUUAUCGAGAAAAAAAAUGACCCGCAUAAAAGAAUUCUUCACAAAACUUUCUGAAUCUUCUACCAACCAAAACAUUUCCAAUAUUCCCAAGAAAAAAAAGAAACUAUUCUUAGCUCUUUUUGCAACGCUACUCGUUGUCGCUGCCGUAAUCGGCAUUGUCGCCGGAGUGAACUCAAGAAAAAACUCCGGCGACAACGGCAACGAGCCUCAUCAUGCUAUCCUCAAAUCAUCAUGUAGCAGCACAAGGUACCCGGACUUAUGCUUUUCGGCUAUUGCUGCCGUUCCAGAGGCCUCCAAAAAGGUGACAAGCCAAAAGGACGUUAUUGAGAUGUCCUUAAACAUCACAACAACAGC
RNAcentral lists this long non-coding RNA (372 nucleotides) under Citrus sinensis (sweet orange). Its description in RNAcentral is "long non-coding RNA (CSIN_LNC000320)". The record is from RNAcentral. Lineage: Eukaryota; Viridiplantae; Streptophyta; Magnoliopsida; Sapindales; Rutaceae.